Non-coding RNA from Lonchura striata (white-rumped munia), 124 nucleotides. Lineage: Eukaryota; Metazoa; Chordata; Aves; Passeriformes; Estrildidae. The record is from RefSeq and is a predicted model, not a curated record.
AGGCAAAAGAAAUUGUGUCAAGGAAUUCUGCCUGUUUCAUCACAGUAGUGGCAUUGCAGAAUGGAGAUUUAAGAGAAAAUCUUGGAAAAAGCAACAAAACUAUGUGGACCCAGCUGAAGGAAGA